RNAcentral lists this non-coding RNA (46 nucleotides) under Trichobilharzia regenti. The record is from RNAcentral. Lineage: Eukaryota; Metazoa; Platyhelminthes; Trematoda; Strigeidida; Schistosomatidae.
AUACUGCUGAAGAGUCCCAAACUAGGAUGAAACAGCUGUCCAGCAC